This 518-nucleotide ribosomal RNA is filed under the name Exophthalmus sp. GZ164. RNAcentral describes it as "partial 12S ribosomal RNA". The record is from RNAcentral. Lineage: Eukaryota; Metazoa; Arthropoda; Insecta; Coleoptera; Curculionidae.
CACUUAUAAUGCAAUAAAAAAAGUUCGGUAAUUAAUUAAUAAUAUUUAUGAAUAAAUUUUUAAUUUUAUUAAGUGAAAUUUCUAAAAUUGGAUUUUAUUUUUAUUAUUUUUAUGAGGUUAAUAAGUUUGGGUCUUAAACUAGGAUUAGAUACCCUAUUAUUCUAAAUUUAAUGUUUGUUACUUGGUUAGUAGUAGUUAUGAUCUUGAAAAUUAAAGAAGUUGGCGGUAUUUUAGUCUAUUCAGAGGAACCUGUCCUAUUAUCGAUGAUCCACGUUUUUUUGUACUUAUUUUAUUAGUUUGCAUAUCGCCGUAGAUUGAAUAUUUUUAAAAAAUUUUUAAUGUUCAAUAAUUUUUAUGAGAAAAGAAUUCAGGUCAAGAUGUAGCUUAUAAAUAAGAAGAGAUGGGUUACAAUAAGUUUACUUAAACGAAUUGGUAGAUGAAAUUUUAUUAUAAAGAUGGAUUUGAAGGUAAUUAUAUUUAAAUUUAUAUAAUGAUUUUAGCUCUAAAAUAUGUACAUA